Molecule: transfer RNA, 65 nt
Filed under: Aethina tumida (small hive beetle)
Lineage: Eukaryota; Metazoa; Arthropoda; Insecta; Coleoptera; Nitidulidae
Description: tRNA-Leu
Source: RNAcentral
AUUAUUUUGGCAGAUUAGUGCAAAGGAUUUAGAAUCUUUAUAUGUAAAAUUUAUUACAAAUAAUA